GAUGAACGCUGGCGGCGUGCCUAAUACAUGCAAGUCGAGCGAACAGAUGAGGAGCUUGCUCCUCUGACGUUAGCGGCGGACGGGUGAGUAACACGUGGAUAACCUACCUAUAAGACUGGGAUAACUUCGGGAAACCGGAGCUAAUACCGGAUAAUAUAUUGAACCGCAUGGUUCAAUAGUGAAAGACGGUUUUGCUGUCACUUAUAGAUGGAUCCGCGCCGCAUUAGCUAGUUGGUAAGGUAACGGCUUACCAAGGCAACGAUGCGGAGCCGACCUGAGAGGGUGAUCGGCCACACUGGAACUGAGACACGGUCCAGACUCCUACGGGAGGCAGCAGUAGGGAAUCUUCCGCAAUGGGCGAAAGCCUGACGGAGCAACGCCGCGUGAGUGAUGAAGGUCUUCGGAUCGUAAAACUCUGUUAUUAGGGAAGAACAAAUGUGUAAGUAACUAUGCACGUCUUGACGGUACCUAAUCAGAAAGCCACGGCUAACUACGUG
This 497-nucleotide ribosomal RNA is filed under the name uncultured bacterium. Its description in RNAcentral is "partial 16S ribosomal RNA". It matches the Rfam family "Bacterial small subunit ribosomal RNA", at positions 28 to 507 of the family's 1533-position model. The record is from RNAcentral.